This 492-nucleotide ribosomal RNA is filed under the name uncultured bacterium. Its description in RNAcentral is "partial 16S ribosomal RNA". It matches the Rfam family "Bacterial small subunit ribosomal RNA", at positions 29 to 507 of the family's 1533-position model. The record is from RNAcentral.
AGUGAACGCUGGCGGUAGGCCUAACACAUGCAAGUCGAACGGCAGCACAGUAAGAGCUUGCUCUUACGGGUGGCGAGUGGCGGACGGGUGAGGAAUACAUCGGAAUCUACUUUUUCGGGGGGGAUAACGUAGGGAAACUUACGCUAAUACCGCAUACGACCUACGGGUGAAAGCAGGGGAUCUUCGGACCUUGCGCGAUUGAAUGAGCCGAUGUCGGAUUAGCUAGUUGGCGGGGUAAAGGCCAACCAAGGCGACGAUCCGUAGCUGGUCUGAGAGGAUGAUCAGCCACCCUGGAACUGAGCCACGGUCCAGACUCCUACGGGAGGCAGCAGUGGGGAAUAUUGGACAAUGGGCGCAAGCCUUAUCCAGCCAUACCGCGUGGGUGAAGGAGGCCUUCGGGUUGUAAAGCCCUUUUGUUGGGAAAGAAAAGCAGCAGGUUAAUACCCCGCUGUUCUGACGGUACCCAAAGAAUAAGCACCGGCUAACUUCGUG